Molecule: long non-coding RNA, 876 nt
Filed under: Setaria viridis
Lineage: Eukaryota; Viridiplantae; Streptophyta; Magnoliopsida; Poales; Poaceae
Description: long non-coding RNA (SVIR_LNC000813)
Source: RNAcentral
ACCUCUUCAUCCGAUUUGCAGCAGAAACAAGAUUUAUUUUUCAAUUUGGAUGGAACAUGCUGCCAAGGAUGCUGUAGAUAGGAGGGAGAAACUUUAAAAUAGUAGUCUGUAAGUGGAAGAGUAAUACGGGAUGGGAAGUUUUUUAUAUUAGCCCCUGGGACCACGCACUGCGUUUUCUCCGUUAACGGAUGCUAAAUACGGAUGGAUAUUGAUGUUGUAUUUGUAUCCGGCAAAUAUGUAAAUAUGGAUAUCCGUAUUUAUAUCUGAUUUUAAUAUGGAUGCUAAAGCCUAAAUGGAUGUAUCAAGAUCUGAUUUCCAGUGUUUUUCUCUAUCCAAAUCCACGUUCGUAUUCGAAAAAAAUGUGAAAUUUUCGACAUAAUCUGUGCUCGUAAAGAAUAAAGUACCUGAUGAAACUAUCUAAAUGUUAUAUCUAUGGUAAUGGAUUCAAAGCAUUUAUAUAAUUUUCUAGUCUUGGAUAUUAAAUCAGACUAUAUCUCAAUGUUAUAUCUAUGAUAGUGGAUCCAGAGCAUUUACAUAAUUUUCUACUUUGGAUAUCGAGAACAGGUUGUAUCUUAAUUAUUGCAUGUGUUUUACCAAUAACAAUGGAUCCAAAGAAAAUCGGUUGUCUGAUUCACGCUUAAUAAAUGCCCCAUCACCCGAUUUCACCUUUUAUACAAUAAAUAAAUGCCACCAUCACCCCCCUUCACCCUUUAUAAGCAGGGUGUGAGGAACGGACAUUAUCGUGACAUUCCUCUGCACCCAGCCAGUGAAUUGGAAGACCAAAACCUGGUUCUUCCAACGCUGCUCUCUCUGCUGGCAUUGGCCUCUCGCGCCUCAAAUCGCAUCAGAGAGGAACGGAAGAAGACCACCUUCUCC